Molecule: ribosomal RNA, 251 nt
Filed under: uncultured prokaryote
Description: partial 16S ribosomal RNA
Rfam family: Bacterial small subunit ribosomal RNA
Source: RNAcentral
ACGUAGGGUGCGAGCGUUAAUCGGAAUUACUGGGCGUAAAGCGUGCGCAGGCGGUCCGCUAAGACAGGUGUGAAAUCCCCGGUCUUAACCUGGGAAUUGCGCUUGUGACUGGCGGGCUGGAGUACGGCAGAGGGGGGUGGAAUUCCACGUGUAGAAGUGAAAUGCGUAGAGAUGUGGAGGAAAACCGAUGGCGAAGGCAGCCCCCUGGGCAGAUACUGACGCUCAUGCACGAAAGAGUGGGGAGCAAAAAG